Molecule: transfer RNA, 73 nt
Filed under: Actinomycetota bacterium
Lineage: Bacteria; Bacillati; Actinomycetota
Description: tRNA-Ala
Rfam family: tRNA
About the family: Transfer RNA (tRNA) molecules are approximately 80 nucleotides in length. Their secondary structure includes four short double-helical elements and three loops (D, anti-codon, and T loops).
Source: RNAcentral
GGGCCGGUGGCGUAAUUGGAAGCGCACCUCCCCUGCAAGGAGGCGAGUGCCGGUUCGAGUCCGGCUCGGUCCA